RNAcentral lists this transfer RNA (73 nucleotides) under Deltaproteobacteria bacterium. Its description in RNAcentral is "tRNA-Phe". It matches the Rfam family "tRNA". From Rfam's summary of the family: Transfer RNA (tRNA) molecules are approximately 80 nucleotides in length. Their secondary structure includes four short double-helical elements and three loops (D, anti-codon, and T loops). Lineage: Bacteria; Pseudomonadati; Myxococcota; Myxococcia. RNAcentral also lists the same sequence under 1 other name. The record is from RNAcentral.
CCUUCCUUGGCGCAAUUGGUCAGCGCACUUGGCUGAAACCCGAGAGGUCCAGGUUCGACUCCUGGGGGAAGGA